Molecule: long non-coding RNA, 423 nt
Organism: Mytilus californianus (California mussel)
Lineage: Eukaryota; Metazoa; Mollusca; Bivalvia; Mytilida; Mytilidae
Exons: 2
Source: RefSeq, a predicted model, not a curated record
AUAUUAUGAAAGCGGCGCUCCUUAUAUAAUAAAAUUUAUAUGUCACGUGACAUGUAUUGGCCAACCGUAACAAUGAAAACAAAAAUGGUGGGACAAGUUGAACCGGGCAAUUGCCUGAACUUUCAUGAAUUAUAAGUUACUUAAGAGUUAACAGCCCGAGUAUGGCGCUUUAUUAGCUAUGACUUUAAGGAAAGCGGGACUAUAGGUAUGAAGAUUAUUUGAAUGGUGCUGUAGCUGAAAGGUCAGGUUACUCCAGUCUCGUAUCCUUGAAACACUUUAGAGAUGCACAGAAAACUUGUUACUCUGGACAGGUGACCAUAAUAUAUAGUACAUGGACAGUUUGCGUAUGGACGAUAUAUGCACAUUAACUAAUUUUAUCUAAUCAAAUGAAUGUCUUUGUUGAAGUAAAACAUCUUGACUUGG